GCCGGCCUAGCUCAAUUGGUAGAGCAUCUGACUUGUAAUCAGUAGGUUGGGGGUUCAAGUCCUCUGGCCGGCACCA
Molecule: transfer RNA, 76 nt
Filed under: Staphylococcus aureus
Lineage: Bacteria; Bacillati; Bacillota; Bacilli; Caryophanales; Staphylococcaceae
Also listed under: 1 other name
Description: tRNA-Thr(tgt)
Rfam family: tRNA
About the family: Transfer RNA (tRNA) molecules are approximately 80 nucleotides in length. Their secondary structure includes four short double-helical elements and three loops (D, anti-codon, and T loops).
Source: RNAcentral